RNAcentral lists this unclassified non-coding RNA (156 nucleotides) under Brucella sp. 191011898. Its description in RNAcentral is "BASRCI153". The record is from RNAcentral. Lineage: Bacteria; Pseudomonadati; Pseudomonadota; Alphaproteobacteria; Hyphomicrobiales; Brucellaceae.
ACAUUUUCGAGCCAAAAGUGUGAAACGCCUAUGCGGGGAAAUCAGUCCACCGGACUGAUUUCCGAUCCCGCUUCGAUGCGUGGGAUAAUGCGGCAAAACAAAUAGUGAGAGCGGUUCCAGCGAUUCUGUUAAAACAGGAACCGCUCUGGCGCGGUU